This 253-nucleotide ribosomal RNA is filed under the name uncultured bacterium. RNAcentral's name for it is "partial 16S ribosomal RNA". It matches the Rfam family "Bacterial small subunit ribosomal RNA", at positions 524 to 776 of the family's 1533-position model. The record is from RNAcentral.
UACGUAGGGUGCAAGCGUUAAUCGGAAUUACUGGGCGUAAAGCGUGCGCAGGCGGUUUUGUAAGUCUGUCGUGAAAUCCCCGGGCUCAACCUGGGAAUUGCGAUGGAGACUGCAAGGCUAGAAUCUGGCAGAGGGGGGUAGAAUUCCACGUGUAGCAGUGAAAUGCGUAGAUAUCUGGAGGAAUAUUGGUGGCGAAGGUGGCAUUUUGGACCAAUAUUGAUACUGAGGAGCGAAAGCCAGGGGAGCAAACGGG